CUUCCAUCUCUUCAUUCACUCCCCUACACUACCUCUCCUUCUGCCUUCCUCUCUUUUCUACCACUCACACUCCCCUUACCCCUCAUCCAUCUCUCUCCCUCUUUUUUUCUGUUUAUCUCUCCAUCUGUCUCUCUCGUGUUUAUUCUGUCGUUUGUGCACCUUGCCAGUCGGACGUGAGAUGGGUUGUGGAAAUUCCGCUGCAACUAGCACAACUGGAGGAGAUCAGUCUGAACCAUCCAAAGAAGAAGAGACGGAGGAACCUUCACCAGAGGACGAGAGGAGGGUUAACUAUGGUGGUGUGUAUGUGGGGAUCCCAGCUGACCUGAGUGGUGUACCUGCUGUGCUGUUCCCCUCGUCACACACAGACACUAAGUGAAUCUACAACAAACGGUUGUGCUGCUACCUGCUCAGGGGAGCAGUAGAAUCCUGGGGGAGCCAAUCACCUGUCAGCUCCUGAGGUCAUGAGGCCAGGACUGAUCUGGGAUCAGGUUGGAAGUCUGCCAUGGGAAGUAGAUCCCCUGGACAGGAAGUAGACCUGAACAAGAAGUAGACCUGAACAAGAAGUAGACCUGAACAGACUGACUGUAAACUCCAGCUGUCACUCUUUGUUCAUCACUUCUGAACUGAGCUGAAUGGUUAGACUGUCACAGUCUCCCCACACCAGCUCCCCAAACCACCUCUGAUACCUUACCACACCAGCUCUCCAAACCACCUCUGAUACCUUACCACACCAGCUCCCCAAACCACCUCUGAUACCUUACCACACCAGCUCCCCAAACCACCUCUGCUACCUUACCGGCUGCCAGCCGCCCCCCGGCUCAGGGCCCCCAGACAGCCAAUCAGGAGAAGGAGGCUACACAGUAAGGAUGCAGUGCAGUCAGUAAAGAUAUGCUGUAGUGAGAACUUGGCGCUAGAAGCCAGAAGCCUUUUCUCUGUCCAACUGUCACAAUAAAGCCCUUCUGUACUGUA
This is a long non-coding RNA of Osmerus eperlanus (European smelt), 969 nucleotides long. RefSeq lists it as uncharacterized. The transcript is spliced from 6 exons. The record is from RefSeq and is a predicted model, not a curated record. Lineage: Eukaryota; Metazoa; Chordata; Actinopteri; Osmeriformes; Osmeridae.